CCUACGGGUGACAGCAGUGAGGAAUAUUGGUCAAUGGACGAGAGUCUGAACCAGCCAAGUAGCGUGAAGGAUGACUGCCCUAUGGGUUGUAAACUUCUUUUAUAUGGGAAUAAAAUGUUCCACGUGUGGGAUUUUGUAUGUACCAUAUGAAUAAGGAUCGGCUAACUCCGUGCCAGCAGCCGCGGUAAUACGGAGGAUCCGAGCGUUAUCCGGAUUUAUUGGGUUUAAAGGGAGCGUAGGUGGAUUGUUAAGUCAGUUGUGAAAGUUUGCGGCUCAACCGUAAAAUUGCAGUUGAAACUGGCAGUCUUGAGUACAGUAGAGGUGGGCGGAAUUCGUGGUGUAGCGGUGAAAGGCUUAGAUAUCACGAAGAACUCCGAUUGCGAAGGCAGCUCACUGGACUGCAACUGACACUGAGGCUCGAAAGUGUGGGUAUCAAACAGGAUUAGAUACCCGGGUAGUC
RNAcentral lists this ribosomal RNA (460 nucleotides) under uncultured bacterium. RNAcentral's name for it is "partial 16S ribosomal RNA". It matches the Rfam family "Bacterial small subunit ribosomal RNA", at positions 338 to 795 of the family's 1533-position model. The record is from RNAcentral.